CCUACGGGUGGCAGCAGUGAGGAAUAUUGGUCAAUGGACGCGAGCCUGAACCAGCCAAGUAGCGUGAAGGAUGACUGCCCUACGGGUUGUAAACUUCUUUUAUAUAGGAAUAAAGUGUGGCACGUGUGGCUUUUUGUAUGUACUUUAUGAAUAAGGAUCGGCUAACUCCGUGCCAGCAGCCGCGGUAAUACGGAGGAUCCGAGCGUUAUCCGGAUUUAUUGGGUUUAAAGGGAGCGUAGGUGGUUUGUUAAGUCAGUUGUGAAAGUUUGCGGCUCAACCGUAAAAUUGCAAUUGAAACUGGCAGUCUUGAGUACAGUAGAGGUAGGCGGAAUUCGUGGUGUAGCGGUGAAAUGCUUAGAUAUCACGAAGAACUCCGAUUGCGAAGGCAGCUUACUAGACUGCAACUGACACUGAGGCUCGAAAGUGUGGGUAUCAAACAGGAUUAGAUACCCGAGUAGUC
RNAcentral lists this ribosomal RNA (460 nucleotides) under uncultured bacterium. Its description in RNAcentral is "partial 16S ribosomal RNA". It matches the Rfam family "Bacterial small subunit ribosomal RNA", at positions 338 to 795 of the family's 1533-position model. The record is from RNAcentral.